RNAcentral lists this ribosomal RNA (317 nucleotides) under uncultured bacterium. RNAcentral describes it as "bacterial SSU rRNA". It matches the Rfam family "Bacterial small subunit ribosomal RNA", at positions 28 to 334 of the family's 1533-position model. RNAcentral also lists the same sequence under 1 other name. The record is from RNAcentral.
GAUGAACGCUGGCGGCGUGCCUAAUACAUGCAAGUCGAGCGAACAGAUAAGGAGCUUGCUCCUUUGACGUUAGCGGCGGACGGGUGAGUAACACGUGGAUAACCUACCUAUAAGACUGGGAUAACUUCGGGAAACCGGAGCUAAUACCGGAUAACAUAUUGAACCGCAUGGUUCAAUAGUGAAAGGCGGCUUUGCUGUCACUUAUAGAUGGAUCCGCGCCGUAUUAGCUAGUUGGUAAGGUAACGGCUUACCAAGGCAACGAUACGUAGCCGACCUGAGAGGGUGAUCGGCCACACUGGAACUGAGACACGGUCCAG